RNAcentral lists this ribosomal RNA (429 nucleotides) under Bacteroidota bacterium. RNAcentral describes it as "Bacteroidetes bacterium partial 16S ribosomal RNA". It matches the Rfam family "Bacterial small subunit ribosomal RNA", at positions 355 to 776 of the family's 1533-position model. The record is from RNAcentral. Lineage: Bacteria; Pseudomonadati; Bacteroidota.
UAGGGAAUCUUCCGCAAUGGACGCAAGUCUGACGGAGCAACGCCGCGUGAGUGAAGAAGGAUUUCGGUUCGUAAAACUCUGUUGUUAGAGAAGAACAGCGCAUAGAGUAACUGUUAUGCGUGUGACGGUAUCUAACCAGAAAGCCACGGCUAACUACGUGCCAGCAGCCGCGGUAAUACGUAGGUGGCAAGCGUUGUCCGGAUUUAUUGGGCGUAAAGCGAGCGCAGGCGGUCAAUUAAGUCUGAUGUGAAAGCCCCCGGCUCAACCGGGGAGGGUCAUUGGAAACUGGUUGACUUGAGUGCAGAAGAGGAGAGUGGAAUUCCAAGUGUAGCGGUGAAAUGCGUGGAUAUAUGGAGGAACACCAGUGGCGAAGGCGACUCUCUGGUCUGUAACUGACGCUGAGGCUCGAAAGCGUGGGUAGCAAACAGG